RNAcentral lists this ribosomal RNA (802 nucleotides) under uncultured bacterium. Its description in RNAcentral is "bacterial SSU rRNA". It matches the Rfam family "Bacterial small subunit ribosomal RNA", at positions 28 to 841 of the family's 1533-position model. The record is from RNAcentral.
GAUGAACGCUGGCGGCGUGCUUAACACAUGCAAGUCGAACGAGGUCCAUGGAGCUUGCUCCGGAAGACCUAGUGGCGAACGGGUGCGUAACACGUGAGAAACCUGCCCCGAUCUCUGGAAUAACAGUUGGAAACGACUGCUAAUACCGGAUGCCAUCGCACCGUCUCAUGGCGGAGUGAUGAAAGAUUUAUCGGAUUGGGAGGGUCUCGCGGCCUAUCAGCUAGUUGGAGAGGUAACGGCUCACCAAGGCAUCGACGGGUAGCUGGUCUGAGAGGAUGAUCAGCCACACUGGAACUGAGACACGGUCCAGACUCCUACGGGAGGCAGCAGUGGGGAAUCUUGCACAAUGGGCGAAAGCCUGAUGCAGCAACGCCGCGUGCGGGAAGAAGGCCCUAGGGUUGUAAACCGCUUUCAGUAGGGAAGAAAAUGACGGUACCUACAGAAGAAGGUGCGGCCAACUACGUGCCAGCAGCCGCGGUGACACGUAGGCACCAAGCGUUAUCCGGAUUUAUUGGGCGUAAAGAGCUCGUAGGCGGUUUGGUAAGUCGGGUGUGAAAACUCUGGGCUCAACCCAGAGAGGCCACCCGAUACUGCUAUGACUAGAGUACGGUAGGGGAGCGGGGAAUUCAUGGUGUAGCGGUGAAAUGCGCAGAUAUCAUGAGGAACACCAGCGGCGAAGGCGCCGCUCUGGGCCGUAACUGACGCUGAGGAGCGAAAGCAUGGGUAGCAAACAGGAUUAGAUACNCUGGUAGUCCAUGCCGUAAACGUUGGGCACUAGGUGUGGGUCUCAACCAACGAGAUC